Molecule: ribosomal RNA, 1333 nt
Filed under: uncultured bacterium
Lineage: Bacteria
Description: bacterial SSU rRNA
Rfam family: Bacterial small subunit ribosomal RNA
Source: RNAcentral
GACGAACGCUGGCGGCGCGCCUAACACAUGCAAGUCGAACGAGCGAGAGAGAGCAUGCUUUCCCGAGCGAGUGGCGAACGGGUGAGUAACGCGUGAGGAACCUGCCUCAAAGAGGGGGACAACAGUUGGAAACGACUGCUAAUACCGCAUAAGCCCACGGCUCGGCAUCGAGCAGAGGGAAAAGGAGCAAUCCGCUUUGAGAUGGCCUCGCGUCCGAUUAGCUAGUUGGUGAGGUAACGGCCCACCAAGGCGACGAUCGGUAGCCGGACUGAGAGGUUGAACGGCCACAUUGGGACUGAGACACGGCCCAGACUCCUACGGGAGGCAGCAGUGGGGAAUAUUGCACAAUGGGGGAAACCCUGAUGCAGCGACGCCGCGUGGAGGAAGAAGGUCUUCGGAUUGUAAACUCCUGUUGUUGGGGAAGAUAAUGACGGUACCCAACAAGGAAGUGACGGCUAACUACGUGCCAGCAGCCGCGGUAAAACGUAGGUCACAAGCGUUGUCCGGAAUUACUGGGUGUAAAGGGAGCGCAGGCGGGAAGACAAGUUGGAAGUGAAAUCUAUGGGCUCAACCCAUAAACUGCUUUCAAAACUGUUUUUCUUGAGUAGUGCAGAGGUAGGCGGAAUUCCCGGUGUAGCGGUGGAAUGCGUAGAUAUCGGGAGGAACACCAGUGGCGAAGGCGGCCUACUGGGCACCAACUGACGCUGAGGCUCGAAAGUGUGGGUAGCAAACAGGAUUAGAUACCCUGGUAGUCCACACCGUAAACGAUGAUUACUAGGUGUUGGAGGAUUGACCCCUUCAGUGCCGCAGUUAACGCAAUAAGUAAUCCACCUGGGGAGUACGACCGCAAGGUUGAAACUCAAAGGAAUUGACGGGGGCCCGCACAAGCAGUGGAGUAUGUGGUUUAAUUCGACGCAACGCGAAGAACCUUACCAAGUCUUGACAUCCCUUGACAGACAUAGAAAUAUGUAAUCUCUUCGGAGCAAGGAGACAGGUGGUGCAUGGUUGUCGUCAGCUCGUGUCGUGAGAUGUUGGGUUAAGUCCCGCAACGAGCGCAACCCUUAUGGUCAGUUACUACGCAAGAGGACUCUGGCCAGACUGCCGUUGACAAAACGGAGGAAGGUGGGGAUGACGUCAAAUCAUCAUGCCCUUUAUGACUUGGGCUACACACGUACUACAAUGGCGUUAAACAAAGAGAAGCAAGACCGCGAGGUGGAGCAAAACUCAGAAACAACGUCCCAGUUCGGACUGCAGGCUGCAACUCGCCUGCACGAAGUCGGAAUUGCUAGUAAUCGUGGAUCAGCAUGCCACGGUGAAUACGUUCCCGGGCCUU